RNAcentral lists this ribosomal RNA (752 nucleotides) under uncultured marine bacterium. Its description in RNAcentral is "bacterial SSU rRNA". It matches the Rfam family "Bacterial small subunit ribosomal RNA", at positions 94 to 883 of the family's 1533-position model. The record is from RNAcentral.
AGUGGCAGACGGGUGAGUAACAUGUAGGUAUCUGCCCUUUGGCCUGGAAUAACACGAGGAAACUUGUGCUAAUACCGGAUAAGUCUUUACGGAGAAAGCUUUAUGCACCAUUGGAUGAGCCUGCACUUGUUUAGUUUGUUGGUGGGGUAAUGGCCUACCAAGACUGUGAUCAAUAGCUGAUUUGAGAGGAUGAUCAGCCACAUUGGGACUGAGACACGGCCCAAACUCCUACGGGAGGCAGCAGUGGGGAAUCUUGCACAAUGGAGGAAACUCUGAUGCAGCGAUGCCGCGUGAGUGAAGAAGGCCCUUGGGUUGUAAAGCUCUUUCGUCGGGGAAGAAAAUGACUGUACCCGAAUAAGAAGGUCCGGCUAACUUCGUGCCAGCAGCCGCGGUAAUACGAAGGGACCUAGCGUAGUUCGGAAUUACUGGGCUUAAAGAGUUCGUAGGUGGUUGAAAAAGUUAGUGGUGAAAUCCCAGAGCUUAACUCUGGAACUGCCAUUAAAACUUUUCAGCUAGAGUAUGAUAGAGGAAAGCAGAAUUUCUAGUGUAGAGGUGAAAUUCGUAGAUAUUAGAAAGAAUACCAAUUGCGAAGGCAGCUUUCUGGAUCAUUACUGACACUGAGGAACGAAAGCAUGGGUAGCGAAGAGGAUUAGAUACCCUCGUAGUCCAUGCCGUAAACGAUGUGUGUUAGACGUUGGAAAUUUAUUUUCAGUGUCGCAGCCAAAGCGAUAAACACACCGCCUGGGGAGUAC